RNAcentral lists this small RNA (128 nucleotides) under Marmota monax (woodchuck). The record is from RNAcentral. Lineage: Eukaryota; Metazoa; Chordata; Mammalia; Rodentia; Sciuridae.
GCUGGGCACAGUGGCGCAUGCCUGUAAUCCCAGUGGCUUGGGAGGCUGAGGCAGGAGGAUCGGACGGAGUUCAAAGCCAGCCUCAGCAAAGUCGAGGCAUAAAGCAACUCAGUGAGACCCUGUCUCUA